This 698-nucleotide ribosomal RNA is filed under the name uncultured Bacteroidales bacterium. RNAcentral describes it as "bacterial SSU rRNA". It matches the Rfam family "Bacterial small subunit ribosomal RNA", at positions 26 to 715 of the family's 1533-position model. The record is from RNAcentral. Lineage: Bacteria; Pseudomonadati; Bacteroidota; Bacteroidia; Bacteroidales.
GCAGAUACGCUAGCUACAGGCUUAACACAUGCAAGUCGAGGGGCAGCAUGAACUUAGCUUGCUAAGUUUGAUGGCGACCGGCGCACGGGUGAGUAACACGUAUCCAACCUGCCGAUGACUCGGGGAUAGCCUUUCGAAAGAAAGAUUAAUACCCGAUGGCAUAAUUCUUCCGCAUGGUAGAACUAUUAAAGAAUUUCGGUCAUCGAUGGGGAUGCGUUCCAUUAGGUUGUUGGCGGGGUAACGGCCCACCAAGCCUUCGAUGGAUAGGGGUUCUGAGAGGAAGGUCCCCCACAUUGGAACUGAGACACGGUCCAAACUCCUACGGGAGGCAGCAGUGAGGAAUAUUGGUCAAUGGACGAGAGUCUGAACCAGCCAAGUAGCGUGAAGGAUGACUGCCCUAUGGGUUGUAAACUUCUUUUAUACGGGAAUAAAGUGAGGGACGUGUCCCUUUUUGUAUGUACCUUAUGAAUAAGGAUCGGCUAACUCCGUGCCAGCAGCCGCGGUAAUACGGAGGAUCCGAGCGUUAUCCGGAUUUAUUGGGUUUAAAGGGAGCGUAGGUUGACAUAUAAGUCAGCCGUGAAAGUUUACGGCUCAACCGUGAAAUUGCAGUUGAUACUGUAUGUCUUGAGUGUACAAGAGGUGGGCGGAAUUCGUGGUGUAGCGGUGAAAUGCUUAGAUAUCACGAAGAACUCCGAUUG